RNAcentral lists this unclassified non-coding RNA (203 nucleotides) under Hevea brasiliensis (rubber tree). The record is from RNAcentral. Lineage: Eukaryota; Viridiplantae; Streptophyta; Magnoliopsida; Malpighiales; Euphorbiaceae.
UGAUCUUGAUGAGCGUCAUGGAUCUACACAGAAAGAGAUUAGGAUGUCCACUGAGAUUGAGGAAAGAGUUGGAAAUCUAUUGAGUAGUUCACAAGACGCAGUAUCUGCUGGGACUUCCUCUUCAACAUCUGGUACUUCUGCCAAAUUAUUAUCCAAAGCUGUAGAAACAACCAAACCUAAGUUGUCUAUAGAGGAUGAUAUUG